CUCUGUACAUGAAUCAUUCGGCUGCCAGCUUUUUGAUUCAUAUGAUUAUUAGUAGUUUCCAUCUGUGUAUGGUCUUUGCAAAAUAUAGUCAACAGUAUUUUUAUUUUGAACAGUGGUGUGUGGUUCCUGAUAGGUUGAAUAAAUACAUCCUUGUGCUGUCAUUAAGGAAAUCCAUAAAAAUAAGAAAUGACAGGUAGUGUUUCAUUACCAAACUUAAUGUGUGAAGUCCAAAAAAUUAUGUUGAUUGUUAUUAUUAUAAUAAGAGGGUCAGAACACUCCUGAUGGACAAACUAAUGUCUUAACUGUUAGUUGUUUGAGUAUCCUUGAGUACCACAACAUGUGGUACCCACAGUUAAUGUCUUAAGAAACAAAGGAGGAGAACAUUAACAACAAUCAACAGUAAAUUAAAGUUCUGGGCUACAACGGAAGUAAGUUCACAAAAUGACAAACAUUAAGAUCAUUAAUAUUUUACAUUUUUGAGUCUGUUUUCCUAUUUAAUACUUACUUCCUCUCUGUAUAACAGAACCAGGGUAGCAAAUUCCAGCUGAAAUUGUCUUAUACAAUAUAAAAAUAUAUAUAGCACCACAUUAACAGAAUUUAAAAAGAAAUGUAAAUAUAGUAUGAUAUUGAUCACAAUAUUAAAUCAUUUUCCCAUUAGCUGUGUUUCCAUAAAAUGCCAAGGGAAAUAAACUUUGAAAAAGUUACAUGAACAAAAAUGUCAGUUACCUGCAUUUCCAUAAAUUCAUUAGUCAUUGGCUGCUUUGUGUCACCAGCGGGUGGUGCUGAAGGCUAUGCUACAACACAGCUCAUAAACAAAAGUACAAGAAGCAUAACAUUCUGUUUUCCACCUAAAAUGGCUGUGAUGUUUUUUUUUUCACUAAUAAAUAAGUUUUCAUUUCCUUUAUGUCCAUUUACUCAAAACCACCUCAACCAUUUUAUAAACCAUUUUUUGAAAUUCAGUAAGUUUUAUUUUUAACUAUAGUGUUUCUAUUAUCCAGUGUGACUCACUUCAUAAAACCACAUACAGCAAUUAUAUAUGUAUUUUUUUUCUUUUUUACCUCUGUUGUUCCAGAAUCACAGGAAUGCAACAUAUCUGCUGAAACAUGGACGAUGAAACAUCUCAACUCAAACCUGACACAUUCUUUAAAACUAAAAAAGUACAUGUCUUCUCUUGUUUUUCCAGCUUCUUCACAUCUAUGACUCCCUGAUAGUUCAAUGUAACUUUUUUGUUUACAUGACUAAUUUUAUUGCACUUGUUUUGAAAGAAAUCAGGAGUGCUAAAAGACAAAGAUAGAUGCUUUAUCUCAAAUGCCAUCAGAUUUGAGCAGUUGGAGGUGAACAUAGACUUCUGGAAAAACACUGAUACAUCAUAUAUCAAUUAAAUGUUGUGCCAGGGGACAUUGAUUCACUUACAAACAGCUGAAAACCUAAUACAAAAAGACAGAUGUAAAACUGGACAAAUCAGCAAAGAUUUGUUAUUUUUACUAGAGAACCAUUGAAACCAUUCAUCCAUUAUGAACAGCUGCAGGUUAGGAGUUUUCUAGUUUCAGGUUUUGUUGUUCAGGGUUUCAGAAUGAUCUGCUGGUUUUUCUUUCAGUAAUUAUUAGUAACUGUCAGCUCAUGAAAAAAUUUAAAUUGUUUUUAGUGUAAAAACUGCUUUUUCAUUGAAUAAUCAAUUACUGAACAGAAAAGGAGGUUAAAAGUCUGCAGCUGUUACAUGAGGAGAAAAAGAAAAAGACAGGAAAUUCAACUACUGACCAAGUAAAAAAGGGGUAAGGUUUUGCAGUGUGUCUGUUUUUACAAAAACUUUACAGAUUUCUUUCCAACAUGAAAGUGAGGGGGUACUAAUGAUUUUCACCAUCAUUUUGAAUCUUCAGAAUGAGACAAAAUAAAAACUGUGUUAAACAUUUGAGGCUCCAACUCCUCUUACAUUUGAAUAAUUACUAAAUUACGUAAGAGAAAACCAGGUUUAAAAGUAACACAAGUAAUCUGUUACUUUAGGAUGAACAAGUGAAGAAGAAACAUUGCUUAUUAUUUAUGAACAUCAUGUAAAUAUCACUGUUUAUCAGAUUAUGGCCACAUCUAAACUUGUUUUUAUUCUGGAUCUUUAAAGGUCUGACUGUUGAAUCUGACCUCCUGAACAAAGGCUCUGUCUGAGAUGC
Long non-coding RNA from Sphaeramia orbicularis (orbiculate cardinalfish), 2162 nucleotides. RefSeq lists it as uncharacterized. The record is from RefSeq and is a predicted model, not a curated record. The transcript has 2 exons. NCBI's taxonomy places the organism in Eukaryota, Metazoa, Chordata, Actinopteri, Kurtiformes, Apogonidae.